GCAUCGGUCGCACCCCAGAAGUACUGCAGGACGUCUCCACCCCGGAAAUACGUGUCGUCGAGGUCCACGAACCAGCUCCCCGAGACGAUCUGCCCGCUCGCGAAGCGGGCGCUGUCGGCGUUCACGGUGAAGAAUCCGUUACCCCCGACCGUGUACGGAGCCGGGGCCUUGCCGGCGUGCGGGCCGGCAACGAUCGCGCCGUAGAGCCUGACCGAUGUCACGCCGCCGGCAUCGCGUCCGUCGAUGACGCCUUGGAGAUGAAUCGAAUCACCGGUUACGAGGUUCGGGAUACCCGUGUUGUUAUGUGCUACGUCAUUCCCGGUGCUGAAUGCGCAGACCCCAAAACGAUUGGCGCCAUCGGGAGAGAAAUGCUGGCCCGGGGUGAUGGCGUUCUGGACCG
Molecule: unclassified non-coding RNA, 400 nt
Filed under: uncultured bacterium
Lineage: Bacteria
Description: contains 16S-23S intergenic spacer region
Source: RNAcentral